CCUACGGGUGACAGCAGUAGGGAAUAUUGCUCAAUGGGGGAAACCCUGAAGCAGCAACGCCGCGUGGAGGAUGAAGGUCUUCGGAUUGUAAACUCCUUUUGUUAGAGAAGAUAAUGACGGUAUCUAACGAAUAAGCACCGGCUAACUCCGUGCCAGAAGCCGCGGUAAUACGGAGGGUGCAAGCGUUACUCGGAAUCACUGGGCGUAAAGGGCGCGUAGGCGGGAUAGCAAGUCAGAUGUGAAAUCCUAUGGCUUAACCAUAGAACUGCAUUUGAAACUGUUAUUCUAGAGUAUGGGAGAGGUAGGUGGAAUUCUUGGUGUAGGGGUAAAAUCCGUAGAGAUCAAGAGGAAUACUCAUUGCGAAGGCGACCUGCUAGAACAUAACUGACGCUGAUGCGCGAAAGCGUGGGGAGCAAACAGGAUUAGAUACCCCUGUAGUC
RNAcentral lists this ribosomal RNA (440 nucleotides) under uncultured bacterium. Its description in RNAcentral is "partial 16S ribosomal RNA". It matches the Rfam family "Bacterial small subunit ribosomal RNA", at positions 338 to 795 of the family's 1533-position model. The record is from RNAcentral.